RNAcentral lists this ribosomal RNA (253 nucleotides) under uncultured bacterium. RNAcentral's name for it is "partial 16S ribosomal RNA". It matches the Rfam family "Bacterial small subunit ribosomal RNA", at positions 524 to 776 of the family's 1533-position model. The record is from RNAcentral.
UACAGAGGUCUCAAGCGUUGUUCGGAUUCAUUGGGCGUAAAGGGUGCGUAGGCGGCGCGGUAAGUCGGGUGUGAAAUCUCGGAGCUUAACUUCGAAACUGCAUUCGAUACUGCCGUGCUUGAGGACUGGAGAGGAGACUGGAAUUUACGGUGUAGCGGUGAAAUGCGUAGAUAUUCGCAAGAACACCAGUGGCGAAGGCGGCUCACUGGCCCGAUACUGACGCUGAGGCACGAAAGCGUGGGGAGCAAACAGG